UAGGGGGAAACAUUUAAAA
Molecule: ribosomal RNA, 19 nt
Filed under: Saccharomyces cerevisiae (brewer's yeast)
Lineage: Eukaryota; Fungi; Ascomycota; Saccharomycetes; Saccharomycetales; Saccharomycetaceae
Description: partial 18S ribosomal RNA
Source: RNAcentral